RNAcentral lists this ribosomal RNA (253 nucleotides) under uncultured bacterium. Its description in RNAcentral is "partial 16S ribosomal RNA". It matches the Rfam family "Bacterial small subunit ribosomal RNA", at positions 524 to 776 of the family's 1533-position model. The record is from RNAcentral. RNAcentral also lists the same sequence under 2 other names.
UACGUAGGUGACAAGCGUUAUCCGGAAUUAUUGGGCGUAAAGCGCCCGCAGGCGGCUGUUCAAGUCUGACGUGAAAUCGCUCGGCUUAACUGGGCGGGGUCGUUGGAAACUGAAUAGCUUGAGGCAAGGAGAGGGGCGUGGAAUUCCCGGUGUAGUGGUGGAAUGCGUAGAUAUCGGGAGGAACAUCAGUGGCGCAAGCGGCGCCCUGGCCUUAGCCUGACGCUCAGGGGCGAAAGCGUGGGGAGCGAACGGG